AGGUAGUAUCCCCAAGAAAAACCUAUGUAGUUUGGCGGCAUUAGCCCUAGUCAAAGGAACUUGUUUUAUAAUCGAUACUCCCCGUUAAAUCUCACUUCGGAUUAAAGCUUACAUACCGCCGUUUUAAGACCAAGCCAAAAUACUAUACUCUCGACAAACCGCUUUACAAACCAGGUCAAGGUGUAGCCUACUCAGAAGACAAAAUGAGUUACAAUAAACGUUAUUUACAGCACUUUUUAUAAUCAAUCUUGGAAAAUAGGAUUUGAAUUCAACUGUUAAAUAAUAUUUAACACUGAACCAGCAAGCAAAUGUGC
Molecule: ribosomal RNA, 314 nt
Filed under: Ariadna boesenbergi
Lineage: Eukaryota; Metazoa; Arthropoda; Arachnida; Araneae; Segestriidae
Description: partial 12S ribosomal RNA
Source: RNAcentral